UACGUAGGUGACAAGGGUUGUCCGGAUUUACUGGGCGUAAAGAGCGCGCAGGCGGUCGUUCAAGUCGGGUGUGAAAGCCCCCGGCUCAACUGGGGAGGGUCACUCGAUACUGAUCGACUCGAAGGCAGGAGAGGGAAGUGGAAUUCCCGGUGUAGUGGUGAAAUGCGUAGAUAUCGGGAGGAACACCAGUGGCGAAGGCGACUUCCUGGCCUGUUCUUGACGCUGAGGCGCGAAAGCUAGGGGAGCAAACGGG
This 253-nucleotide ribosomal RNA is filed under the name uncultured bacterium. RNAcentral's name for it is "partial 16S ribosomal RNA". It matches the Rfam family "Bacterial small subunit ribosomal RNA", at positions 524 to 776 of the family's 1533-position model. The record is from RNAcentral.